RNAcentral lists this ribosomal RNA (497 nucleotides) under uncultured bacterium. RNAcentral's name for it is "partial 16S ribosomal RNA". It matches the Rfam family "Bacterial small subunit ribosomal RNA", at positions 28 to 507 of the family's 1533-position model. The record is from RNAcentral.
GAUGAACGCUGGCGGCGUGCCUAAUACAUGCAAGUCGAGCGAACAGACGAGGAGCUUGCUCCUCUGACGUUAGCGGCGGACGGGUGAGUAACACGUGGAUAACCUACCUAUAAGACUGGGAUAACUUCGGGAAACCGGAGCUAAUACCGGAUAAUAUAUUGAACCGCAUGGUUCAAUAGUGAAAGACGGUUUCGCUGUCACUUAUAGAUGGAUCCGCGCCGCAUUAGCUAGUUGGUAAGGUAACGGCUUACCAAGGCAACGAUGCGUAGCCGACCUGAGAGGGUGAUCGGCCACACUGGAACUGAGACACGGUCCAGACUCCUACGGGAGGCAGCAGUAGGGAAUCUUCCGCAAUGGGCGAAAGCUUGACGGAGCAACGCCGCGUGAGUGAUGAAGGUCUUCGGAUCGUAAAACUCUGUUAUUAGGGAAGAACAAAUGUGUAAGUAACUAUGCACGUCUUGACGGUACCUAAUCAGAAAGCCACGGCUAACUACGUG